UCCAGUUGCAUACGUAGCAGAAGAUGGCCU
This 30-nucleotide non-coding RNA is filed under the name Rattus norvegicus (Norway rat). The record is from RNAcentral. Lineage: Eukaryota; Metazoa; Chordata; Mammalia; Rodentia; Muridae.